RNAcentral lists this ribosomal RNA (444 nucleotides) under uncultured Streptococcus sp. RNAcentral describes it as "bacterial SSU rRNA". It matches the Rfam family "Bacterial small subunit ribosomal RNA", at positions 936 to 1382 of the family's 1533-position model. Lineage: Bacteria; Bacillati; Bacillota; Bacilli; Lactobacillales; Streptococcaceae. The record is from RNAcentral.
AGCAUGUGGUUUAAUUCGAAGCAACGCGAAGAACCUUACCAGGUCUUGACAUCCCGAUGCUACUUCUAGAGAUAGAAAGUUACUUCGGUACAUCGGUGACAGGUGGUGCAUGGUUGUCGUCAGCUCGUGUCGUGAGAUGUUGGGUUAAGUCCCGCAACGAGCGCAACCCCUAUUGUUAGUUGCCAUCAUUCAGUUGGGCACUCUAGCGAGACUGCCGGUAAUAAACCGGAGGAAGUGGGAUGACGUCAAAUCAUCAUGCCCCUUAUGACCUGGGCUACACACGUGCUACAAUGGUUGGUACAACGAGUUGCGAGUCGGUGACGGCGAGCUAAUCUCUUAAAGCCAAUCUCAGUUCGGAUUGUAGGCUGCAACUCGCCUACAUGAAGUCGGAAUCGCUAGUAAUCGCGGAUCAGCACGCCGCGGUCGAAUACGUUCCCGGGCCUU